Molecule: ribosomal RNA, 484 nt
Filed under: uncultured bacterium
Lineage: Bacteria
Description: bacterial SSU rRNA
Rfam family: Bacterial small subunit ribosomal RNA
Source: RNAcentral
UGAACGCUAGCGGCAGGCUUAACACAUGCAAGUCGAGGGGCAGCGCGGAGUAGCAAUACUCUGGCGGCGACCGGCGAAAGGGUGCGUAACGCGUGAACAAUCUGCCCGUAUCCGGGACAUAAGCGAUGGAAACGUCGUCUAAUUUCCCCAUAACAACGAGGGCCGCAUGACCCAUGUUUUGAAAGAUCCGUCGGAUACGGAUGAGUUCGCGAGACAUUAGCUAGUCGGCGUGGUAACGGCACACCGAGGCAACGAUGUCUAGGGGUUCUGAGAGGAAGGUCCCCACACUGGAACUGAGACACGGUCCAGACUCCUACGGAGGCAGCAGUGAGGAAUAUUGGUCAAUGGGCGAAAGCCUGAACCAGCCAUGCCGCGUGAAGGAUUGAGGCCCUAUGGGUCGUAAACUUCUUUGUGGUGGAGCAAUAAGACGUACGCGUACGUCGAUGAGAGUACAUCACGAAUAAGCAUCGGCUAACUCCGUGCC